This 495-nucleotide ribosomal RNA is filed under the name uncultured bacterium. Its description in RNAcentral is "partial 16S ribosomal RNA". It matches the Rfam family "Bacterial small subunit ribosomal RNA", at positions 29 to 506 of the family's 1533-position model. The record is from RNAcentral.
AUGAACGCUGGCGGCGUGCCUAAUACAUGCAAGUCGAGCGCACAGACGAGGAGCUUGCUCCUCUGACGUUAGCGGCGGACGGGUGAGUAACACGUGGAUAACCUACCUAUAAGACUGGGAUAACUUCGGGAAACCGGAGCUAAUACCGGAUAAUAUAUUGAACCGCAUGGUUCAAUAGUGAAAGACGGUUUUGCUGUCACUUAUAGAUGGAUCCGCGCCGCAUUAGCUAGUUGGUAAGGUAACGGCUUACCAAGGCGACGAUGCGUAGCCGACCUGAGAGGGUGAUCGGCCACACUGGAACUGAGACACGGUCCAGACUCCUACGGGAGGCAGCAGUAGGGAAUCUUCCGCAAUGGGCGAAAGCCUGACGGAGCAACGCCGCGUGAGUGAUGAAGGUCUUCGGAUCGUAAAACUCUGUUAUUAGGGAAGAACAAAUGUGUAAGUAACUAUGCACGUCUGGACGGUACCUAAUCAGAAAGCCACGGCUAACUACGU